RNAcentral lists this ribosomal RNA (608 nucleotides) under uncultured bacterium. RNAcentral describes it as "bacterial SSU rRNA". The stretch from base 1 to 541 matches the Rfam family "Bacterial small subunit ribosomal RNA", at positions 338 to 873 of the family's 1533-position model. The record is from RNAcentral.
CCUACGGGAGGCAGCAGUGGGGAAUUUUGGACAAUGGGCGCAAGCCUGAUCCAGCCAUGCCGCGUGCGGGAAGAAGGCCUUCGGGUUGUAAACCGCUUUUGUCAGGGAAGAAAAGGUUCUGGUUAAUACCUGGGACUCAUGACGGUACCUGAAGAAUAAGCACCGGCUAACUACGUGCCAGCAGCCGCGGUAAUACGUAGGGUGCAAGCGUUAAUCGGAAUUACUGGGCGUAAAGCGUGCGCAGGCGGUUAUGCAAGACAGAGGUGAAAUCCCCGGGCUCAACCUGGGAACUGCCUUUGUGACUGCAUAGCUAGAGUACGGUAGAGGGGGAUGGAAUUCCGCGUGUAGCAGUGAAAUGCGUAGAUAUGCGGAGGAACACCGAUGGCGAAGGCAAUCCCCUGGACCUGUACUGACGCUCAUGCACGAAAGCGUGGGGAGCAAACAGGAUUAGAUACCCUGGUAGUCCACGCCCUAAACGAUGUCAACUGGUUGUUGGGAGGGUUUCUUCUCAGUAACGUAGCUAACGCGUGAAGUUGCCGCCUGGGGNGCGGCGCGAGUGAACGACANAGAGUGNGCGNGAGAGNGCGAGACGACGACGAGGGAGGAGG